ACGGGUGAGUAACGCGUGGGAAUCUGCCUUAUAUGGGGGAUAGCCCGGAGAAAUCCGGAUUAAUACCGCAUACGCCCUACGGGGGAAAGCUGGGGAUCUUCGGACCUGGCGCUAUUAGAUGAGCCCGCGUUAGAUUAGCUUGUUGGUGGGGUAACGGCCUACCAAGGCAACGAUCUAUAGCUGGUCUGAGAGGACGAUCAGCCACACUGGGACUGAGACACGGCCCAG
RNAcentral lists this ribosomal RNA (228 nucleotides) under uncultured bacterium. RNAcentral's name for it is "partial 16S ribosomal RNA". It matches the Rfam family "Bacterial small subunit ribosomal RNA", at positions 102 to 334 of the family's 1533-position model. The record is from RNAcentral.